Molecule: ribosomal RNA, 984 nt
Filed under: Vibrio sp.
Lineage: Bacteria; Pseudomonadati; Pseudomonadota; Gammaproteobacteria; Vibrionales; Vibrionaceae
Description: bacterial SSU rRNA
Rfam family: Bacterial small subunit ribosomal RNA
Source: RNAcentral
CAGUCGUGAGGCAUGUAGUAGUAGGUAUUAGCUGUCAUAAUUGACGUAGCGACAGGAGAGCAUCUGGCUAACUGCGUAGCAGCAGUCAGCGGUAAUACGGAGGGUGCGAGCGUUAAUCGUAGUUACCUGGGCGUAAAGCGCAUGCAGGUGGUUUGUUAAGUCAGAUGUGAAAGGCCGGGGCUCAACCUGGGAAUUGCAUUUGAAACUGGCAGACUAGAGUACUGUAGAGGGGGGUAGAAUUUCAGGUGUAGCGGUGAAAUGCGUAGAGAUCUGAAGGAAUACCGGUGGCGAAGGCGGCCCCCUGGACAGAUACUGACACUCAGAUGCGAAAGCGUGGGGAGCAAACAGGAUUAGAUACCGUGGUAGUCCACGCCGUAAACGAUGUCUACUUGGAGGUUGUGGCCUUGAGCCGUGGCUUUCGGAGCUAACGCGUUAAGUAGACCGCCUGGGGAGUACGGUCGCAAGAUUAAAACUCAAAUGAAUUGACGGGGGCCCGCACAAGCGGUGGAGCAUGUGGUUUAAUUCGAUGCAACGCGAAGAACCUUACCUACUCUUGACAUCCAGAGAACUUUCCAGAGAUGGAUUGGUGCCUUCGGGAACUCUGAGACAGGUGCUGCAUGGCUGUCGUCAGCUCGUGUUGUGAAAUGUUGGGUUAAGUCCCGCAACGAGCGCAACCCUUAUCCUUGUUUGCCAGCGAGUAAUGUCGGGAACUCCAGGGAGACUGCCGGUGAUAAACCGGAGGAAGGUGGGGACGACGUCAAGUCAUCAUGGCCCUUACGAGUAGGGCUACACACGUGCUACAAUGGCGCAUACAGAGGGCGGCCAACUUGCGAAAGUGAGCGAAUCCCAAAAAGUGCGUCGUAGUCCGGAUUGGAGUCUGCAACUCGACUCCAUGAAGUCGGAAUCGCUAGUAAUCGUGGAUCAGAAUGCCACGGUGAAUACGUUCCCGGGCCUUGUACACACCGCCCGUCACACCAUGGGAGU